GAUCGAGAUGGACCUAGAGGGGGUGAAUAGGUACAGUUCCAAAUUUUAAUAGUUACUUAGCAAUGUUAGGCAAUGGUGCGGAAUAUGAGAGUGAGCCUAAUAAUUGCAAAGCCAAAGAGUAAGCUAUUUAGAGUAAAGUAAGGCAACCGGUAAACUAUAAUCAAAUGCAAGUACGUAAUAAGGAUUAACACAAGUAGAGAGUUAGGGUUAGGGAUAACCAAAACUCCAAGAGAGACGAGGAUGUAUCCCGGUGUUCACUUCCUUGGAGGGAACCUAUGUCACCGUUAGAGGAGCGGAUGUUACCACGAAGGCACACCAACGCCGCGAAGGCUCACCCUAUUCUCCCUUUGAGACAACACCACGAAGGCAUUUCUCAACCACUAGUGGUAAGCCUUGAGGUGGCUUCCAAACCUUCACAAACUUUUCGGG
This 429-nucleotide long non-coding RNA is filed under the name Hordeum vulgare. Its description in RNAcentral is "long non-coding RNA (HVUL_LNC003997)". Lineage: Eukaryota; Viridiplantae; Streptophyta; Magnoliopsida; Poales; Poaceae. The record is from RNAcentral.